Molecule: ribosomal RNA, 401 nt
Filed under: uncultured bacterium
Lineage: Bacteria
Description: bacterial SSU rRNA
Rfam family: Bacterial small subunit ribosomal RNA
Source: RNAcentral
CAGGCCUUGACAUCCAAUGAACUUUCCAGAGAUGGAUUGGUGCCUUCGGGAACAUUGAGACAGGUGCUGCAUGGCUGUCGUCAGCCCGUGUCGUGAGAUGUUGGGUUAAGUCCCGUAACGAGCGCAACCCUUGUCCUUAGUUACCAGCACGUAAUGGUGGGCACUCUAAGGAGACUGCCGGUGACAAACCGGAGGAAGGUGGGGAUGACGUCAAGUCAUCACGGCCCUUACGGCCUGGGCUACACACGUGCUACAAUGGUCGGUACAAAGGGUUGCCAAGCCGCGAGGUGGAGCUAAUCCCAUAAAACCGAUCGUAGUCCGGAUCGCAGUCUGCAACUCGACUGCGUGAAGUCGGAAUCGCUAGUAAUCGCGGAUCAGAAUGUCGCGGCGAAUACGUUCCC